UACGUAGGGAGCAAGCGUUGUCCGGAAUCAUUGGGCGUAAAGCGCGCGUAGGUGGCUUCGUAAGUCCGUUGUGAAAGUCAAAGGCUCAACCUUUGAAAGCCGAUGGAUACUGCGGAGCUAGAGUACGGAAGAGGCGAGUGGAAUUCCUGGUGUAGCGGUGGAAUGCGCAGAUAUCAGGAGGAACACCAAUAGCGAAGGCAGCUCGCUGGGACGUUACUGACACUGAGGCGCGAAAGCAUGGGGAGCGAACAGG
This 253-nucleotide ribosomal RNA is filed under the name uncultured bacterium. RNAcentral's name for it is "partial 16S ribosomal RNA". It matches the Rfam family "Bacterial small subunit ribosomal RNA", at positions 524 to 776 of the family's 1533-position model. The record is from RNAcentral.